Molecule: ribosomal RNA, 443 nt
Filed under: uncultured bacterium
Lineage: Bacteria
Description: partial 16S ribosomal RNA
Rfam family: Bacterial small subunit ribosomal RNA
Source: RNAcentral
CCUACGGUAGGCUGCAGUAGGGAAUAUUUGUCCAUGGGCGCACGCCUGACCCAGCAACGCCGCGUGAAGGAUGAAGUUCCUCGGGUUGUAAACUUCUUUUAUCAAGGACGAUACACAUGACGUUUCUUGAUGAAUAAGCCACUGCUAACUACGUGCAAGCAGCCGCGGUAAGACGUAUGUGGCCAGCAUUAUGCGGAUGUACUGGUUGUAAAGGGCGUGUAGGCGGGACAGCAAGUCAGAUGUGAAAUCCAUGGGCUCAACCCAUGGACUGCAUUUGAAACUGUAGUUCUUGAGUGUUGGAGAGGCAGGUGGAAUUCCGUGUGUAGCGGUGAAAUGCGUAGAGAUACGGAGGAACACCAGUGGCGAAGGCGACCUGAUGGACCAUAACUGACGCUGAGGCGCGAAAGCGUGGGGAGCAAACAGGAUUAGAUACCCGGGUAGUC